This 48-nucleotide small RNA is filed under the name Rosa chinensis. RNAcentral's name for it is "sRNA RchiOBHm_CPg0502691". Lineage: Eukaryota; Viridiplantae; Streptophyta; Magnoliopsida; Rosales; Rosaceae. The record is from RNAcentral.
ACGGUUCUGUAGAGUGGCAGUAAGGGUGACUUAUCUGUCAACUUUUCC